GGGCCUGUAGUUCACCGGUAGAAUAUAUCCAUGGCAUGGAUGAGAAGAGGGUUCAAUUCCCUCCAGGUCCACAA
Molecule: transfer RNA, 74 nt
Filed under: Candidatus Collierbacteria bacterium
Lineage: Bacteria; Candidatus Collieribacteriota
Description: tRNA-Ala
Rfam family: tRNA
About the family: Transfer RNA (tRNA) molecules are approximately 80 nucleotides in length. Their secondary structure includes four short double-helical elements and three loops (D, anti-codon, and T loops).
Source: RNAcentral